Drosophila serrata is the source of this 433-nucleotide long non-coding RNA. RefSeq lists it as uncharacterized. The record is from RefSeq and is a predicted model, not a curated record. NCBI's taxonomy places the organism in Eukaryota, Metazoa, Arthropoda, Insecta, Diptera, Drosophilidae.
GAUUUCUGGCUUUAUGUUCGAAAAGCCAAAACCAAUUUCAUGGGUUUAGCUUAGAGAACUCCGAUACGAUGUAGGCAAUAAAAAUUCUACCUGCCGAUGUUCUGACUUCAUUUUCGUUGUUUUCGAAGGGAUUAGGAGCAGCGGUUCCGAAAUUUAAGUGAGAUGAUGAAAAAUAUUAUUUACCGAAAAAAAAGAAUCGAUAGACUCGUUGUUGAAAUCGAUUUUUCGCAGUUUUAAUGGCUGGUGAAGUAUUCACAAGUGUUUUGCAUUAAUAGCUUUGGAGCCUUUUUUAACCUAGACGGUGUGAAUGGGAAGGCCAUUAUAUUUCCAGAAUUUGAUUUCUGUUUAAUUGAUUGACGAGGCAACAGCCGGAAGGAAAGACCCGUAACAUACGUUUAGGGGAAAUGCAAGAAGUUUAGCUAAAAAGAAUUGU